UGGGGAAUAUUGGACAAUGGGCGAAAGCCUGAUCCAGCCAUGCCGCGUGUGUGAAGAAGGUCUUCGGAUUGUAAAGCACUUUAAGUUGGGAGGAAGGGCAGUAAGCGAAUACCUUGCUGUUUUGACGUUACCGACAGAAUAAGCACCGGCUAACUCUGUGCCAGCAGCCGCGGUAAUACAGAGGGUGCAAGCGUUAAUCGGAAUUACUGGGCGUAAAGCGCGCGUAGGUGGUUCGUUAAGUUGAAUGUGAAAGCCCCGGGCUCAACCUGGGAACUGCAUCCAGAACUGGCGAGCUAGAGUAGGGCAGAGGGUGGUGGAAUUUCCUGUGUAGGGGUGAAAUGCGUAGAUAUAGGAAGGAACACCAGUGGCGAAGGCGACCACCUGGGCUCAUACUGACACUGAGGUGCGAAAGCGUGGGGAGCAAACAGG
This 429-nucleotide ribosomal RNA is filed under the name Pseudomonadota bacterium. Its description in RNAcentral is "Proteobacteria bacterium partial 16S ribosomal RNA". It matches the Rfam family "Bacterial small subunit ribosomal RNA", at positions 355 to 776 of the family's 1533-position model. Lineage: Bacteria; Pseudomonadati; Pseudomonadota. The record is from RNAcentral.